UAGAGCCUCGGCAGGUUUGGUUGUUGGGAACUCUGAUCAUUGUGAUGCUGAGAGGCUCAGUGGAUCUGCAGUCUGGCUCUCCCUGCUGUUAGCAGCCCUUCAGGACAACACACAUUCUGAAGGGUAAUCGUAAAGCAUCUACUGGGUGCUAUGCAACGAGAUGGGUCACAAGCCUGGAAGCCACUGUAUGAGCUCUCUCAAGUCAGACCAGAGUGAAUCAGGCCAGAAGCCUUUCCAGCUAUGAUCAUAUUCCUGGGCUUUCUUCCCUGUUUGAGUUCUCAUGUCAAAAAAACUCAUGAAAAGAACUUCCUCCAUUCAGGGUCUUAGCAUGUUAGUCUCCCAUGUGAGCCUUUCCUUAAAGCCUGAGCUUAAAAUAGGCUUUCUCACACUAAACACAUUUAUUCAGUCUUGUUCUUAAAUAAAUUAUCCUUUGUAUAAAACAA
This is a non-coding RNA of Leptonychotes weddellii (Weddell seal), 443 nucleotides long. The record is from RefSeq and is a predicted model, not a curated record. NCBI's taxonomy places the organism in Eukaryota, Metazoa, Chordata, Mammalia, Carnivora, Phocidae.